AUGAUCAUCAUGUUUAUUGCGUGGUUUAUAAGUAUUGUUAUUGCACACUCAAGGCCCUUUAGCUCAGUGGUUAGAG
Molecule: transfer RNA, 76 nt
Filed under: Escherichia coli K-12
Lineage: Bacteria; Pseudomonadati; Pseudomonadota; Gammaproteobacteria; Enterobacterales; Enterobacteriaceae
Description: tRNA-Ile
Source: RNAcentral